GGGGCGGGGCCACUGGGGGCGGGGCCAGAGGAACUGGGGUCGCCGACGGGAGAGCUGGGGUGACUGCGGGCACGUGUCCUGCCCUACCGGCCGAGACUCCUCCCGUCCGCGGGGUCGUGUGCUUCCCACAACCGCCCCCCACUCUGCCUUGGUCUCCACGCAAACCGAAGGAAAUGCUGAGCCAAUGCCUUUUUUUUUAAGGGGUAACUGAGGCUGCAGAAAGUUCCUGGGCUCCUGUGAGGUCCCCAGAAAGUCCCAUUCCUGAACCCUCUAACGCGGAGGAGUGACAGAGGGAAGUGAGGACGCAAAGAGACAGUGGUCUUACGUAUCUUGGUUUAGAAACUUCGACAGAAGCUUUGGACCAGGCGAAAAUACCGCAGCGGCCUUGGAAGGGCCUGUGCGCGCGCGGGCUUGGGAACGAGCUUCGUUCAUUGAUGGUGAACCCGCCUCUGGUCCUAGGGGACUCCAUUCUGCUACUCUGAGCCCCAGUGACUUGUUUCCACUUAGCCUGGAUCUUUAUUCGUAUUACAUAUUACAUAGUUAUUCGCAUUCAUAUUACGUGGCCAAAGCGCCAAGAAGUCCCAACUGUAUUUCCUUGAUGUGCUAGGCUCACUGCUCCAGCCUGAGUAGCCAGUGACUGUCACGUGACGGGACAUUGUUAUCGCCUGGAGACAAGGGACACGCAGCCAAAAGAAAAGUCGGAAGAAAAAUAAGCGCAGAGGUGUCUCAGGAAGUCAAGCGACAGGAAUGACAGCGGCGAUUCCCGUGUCGUUUGAAUUUUGCCCUACCGGUCAGGGUCAGCUCUUUUUAACAUUUGCGAGUCAUCGGGGUGUCAUUUCUCUUUCUAAGUAAACACUCGUUUCUGUACCUCAUUGUCUAUUCUUUGUGCUAAAGAACUCCCCUUCAGGGGUGGCUCCUUCGGUUAAGCGUCUGACUCCUGGUUUCGGCUCAGGUCAUGAUCUCACGGUUCGUGAGUUCGAGGCCCCGAGUCGGGCUCUGCGCUGACGGUGCAGAACCUGCUUGGGAUCCUCUCUCUCCCUCUCUCUGCCCCUCCCCUGCUCUCUCUCCCUCUCUCUCAUUCUCCCCUUCCCAAAAUACAUAAACUUUUUUUUAAAAAAUGCUGUUUGAAAUAAGUCCCCUUGUCCCUAUAUUAAAAUGAGGAAACUGGGGGAUGCCUGGAGGGCUCAACGGGUAGAGCAUGUGACUUGAGAUCUCGGGGUCGUGAGUUUGAGCCCCACGCUGGGUGUAGAGAUUACUUAAAUAAAUUAAAAUUUUGAAUCAAUCAGUAAAACGAGGAAACUGAGUCACAGAGCCGGUGGAGAAGUCUCCGUGUGUGGUCAGGUCUGUCCGACUCCUCAGCCCGAAGGGCUGGCUGUGUCUCCAGCCCCGGUCGGCCUGUACCCCCGGAGUCUUAGCGGCCUGUGGGGCCCCUGCAUUCAGCCAACUAACACUGCUAACAGCUUCUCAGGGCUCUGAACGUCCCUGCCACAGAGCCUAAGCUGCCACCAGCCGUCACUCUCCCUGCGCAGAGCGGAUCAUGGGUGUUGCUCAAGGCGAUGCGUCCUUGCAAGACCUUGGUUGUCCACAGACACCCCGGCCCUGGAACCCCCAUCUGGAUAAACAGCCCCCCCCCCCGGGAUAUUCACGAUGGUCGGUGAAUUUAUUUCGCACAUACCAUGCCCCAAGCACUUCCUGUGCCUUGCCUCAUCUGGUCCUCAAAGUCUUGUGAAGUAGGUAUUAUGAACCCAUUUCACGGAAGAGGAAACAGAGGGUCAGGGAGAUUUAUAAUAAUAGGACGAAGGCGGGUGAGUAUGGUUACUAAAUAUGCUAGACCUUAGAGCUGGUCCGUACAAUUGUGGAGCCCGUUCUCCCACCAUUCUCGCUGUGUGAUCUCGAGCAUGUUAAAUAACCACUCUGGGCCUCAGUGGCACAGCCACAAAGUGACAAUAAUCGUACCUUCCCAGACGUGUGUCAACACACACAACCACACUGGCACAAUAAAUUCUUCGUAAAUGUCUGUUCUUUUAAUAUCACUUUUGUUGUAAUGUUUCUUUAUUGACUUUUAGACAGAGAGAGAGAGAAUCCCAAGCAG
Molecule: long non-coding RNA, 2092 nt
Organism: Felis catus (domestic cat)
Lineage: Eukaryota; Metazoa; Chordata; Mammalia; Carnivora; Felidae
Exons: 3
Source: RefSeq, a predicted model, not a curated record